GAGGAGGUCGAGCGAUGGUCGACCAAUGGUCGAAGGUCGCUUGCUGGGGAGAAUCAGCGAUAGUGGUCGAGCGGCCAGGGAAACAACGACGGCGGUGGAGAAAGAGUUGCCUUGUAGCGGUGAUGGGGAAGAAGGGAAGCAAGGCUGCGGCAGGCUGCGCCAAGGAUCAUUGCUCUGAUACCAAAUGGUAAGACCCUAAAG
Molecule: long non-coding RNA, 201 nt
Filed under: Musa acuminata (dwarf banana)
Lineage: Eukaryota; Viridiplantae; Streptophyta; Magnoliopsida; Zingiberales; Musaceae
Description: long non-coding RNA (MACU_LNC007054)
Source: RNAcentral